CCACAGAAACAUACACACAUACAGUAGAUAUUAGGGGUGUGCAGACGAGCCGAUAUGCAUCUAGAUCUACAGUCUAUGAUCUAGAUACAUGGGGUGCGAUACAAUUCAGGGGUGAUACAUUUUAAUAUGGAACGAUUAGGUACAAUUCGAUUGGGUAUGAUGCUAUCUGAUACAGUUCCUUGUUUAAAGUAGACAUUCAUUUUACAUCAGAAAUCAACAUAAGUCAAUCCUAUAAAUGACUGCAAUUUAAAUAGAUACAUCUCAUAAAAGAGCAGGGAACAAGUAUUUUUUUUACUUUUUUCAUGUACGGGUUCAGAACCAGGUCAUUGUGUUUAUUACUGUAAUACAUUGCACUUUGAGAAGUUUGCAAAGCCCCUCUGUCAAUGAAAACAAACUUAAUAUUUAGUCUUCAUUAUUGGCACAAAUUAGAAAAACUAGUAAAGGAGAUGAAAGAAAUAAAACAUUUGGAGAGAGUAGUAUUCAAAAUUUAUAAUAACAUAAAUUCAAAAGAGCUUGUCUCAUUUCAUAAGUGCUUGAGCCAACACAAGAGACUUAAGACAACAGUAACAGUAAAGGCCCAUUCACAUCAAGAACUAUAAUUAUAACUAUAACUAUAAGUAUAUAGUUUUAAAAAUGGUUGUAACUCCAGUGGAUGGUGGAGUCCACACCACAACUAUUAACCCUCCUACAGUAGUGAACAAUUGUUGGAUCACUUUCAGAGUGAUUUGAUGAAUGAUAGAAACACUGACAGCCAAUCAACAUUUUUCCACUAAACCAUACAGCAAUCAAAUCUGCCUCCAACCUGACAUUUACAGUACAACUUCAAAACCUGCAAAUAUCAUCUUCAUUUUGGAAACUGAGUGAUGACUUAUUGACUUAUUUAUAUUAAUUUAUUUUAUUGUGGCUUUGCUCCUCUCUCACCACAGACUAAAGCGCUGUAAAUUGGAGCAGAAUGACACCCACAGGUGAUUUCUUUAGAUAGACUUCAGAUCUGUGCUCAUACUGUGUGUUACUGCAACAGCAGUGCACUUCUACACAUCAGGCUUCAACAUUUGCUGCUGUCAGUCAGCUCAGUUUGGUCUAUAAAUAUAGAAACAUCACAGCAACUAGUGUCUGCAAUAAUUCUUAAUGUUACUGUGACGAGUAUCGUGGUAGUUUUAUGGAGAGAGAGAGAGAGAGAGAGAGAGAGAGAGAGAGAGAGAGAGAGAGAGAGAGAGAGAGAGAGAGAGAGAGAGAGAGAGAGAGUUGUAGACAGUGAGCUGAUGAAGCUUUCAGCAGCACAGCAGCUACAUAAUUCAUAAUUUCAUAACGGUUAUUUGUUACACAACCUACUAGAUACCUUACUGAAACUCAUGCUGGGAAAAAAGCAGCAAAUGGCAAUAAUCUGGUCUGCAUCAAAAACAUAUUACAUAAUGUUAAAUGUUUUUCAGGCUGUGAAGGUAA
Molecule: long non-coding RNA, 1443 nt
Organism: Scomber japonicus (chub mackerel)
Lineage: Eukaryota; Metazoa; Chordata; Actinopteri; Scombriformes; Scombridae
Exons: 3
Source: RefSeq, a predicted model, not a curated record